UCGAAGAGGACCGUGGGUUCCCGUACCAACGUUGUUUGACUGUUCGUCUUAUAUAAAAAUUUUUUAUAAUUAAUAUUUUCAUUAUUGUUAGAUGAUAAAACAUGAUCAAUAUUUUAUGCGUGACUUAUCUUUUUAAUUUUUUUAUAAUUUUUUUAAAUAAGACGAACAGUCAAACAUUGGACACGGAAACCAGGGUUUGUCUUUUU
This is a non-coding RNA of Oryza glaberrima (African rice), 206 nucleotides long. Lineage: Eukaryota; Viridiplantae; Streptophyta; Magnoliopsida; Poales; Poaceae. The record is from Rfam.